AGAGUUUGAUCAUGGCUCAGAAUCAACGCUGGCGGCGUGCCUAACACAUGCAAGUCGCACGAGAAAGGGGAGCAAUCCCUGAGUAAAGUGGCGCACGGGUGAGUAACACGUGACUAACCUACCUCCGAGUGGGGAAUAACUGAGAGAAAUCUUAGCUAAUACCGCAUAACACUUACGAGUCAAAGCAGCAAUGCGCUUGGAGAGGGGGUCGCGGCAGAUUAGUUAGUUGGCGGGGUAAUGGCCCACCAAGACGAUGAUCUGUAUCCGGCCUGAGAGGGCGCACGGACACACUGGAACUGAAACACGGUCCAGACUCCUACGGGAGGCAGCAGUGGGGAAUUUUGCGCAAUGGGGGAAACCCUGACGCAGCAACGCCGCGUGGAGGAUGAAAUAUCUUGGUAUGUAAACUCCUUUCGAUGGGGAAGAUUAUGACGGUACCCAUAGAAGAAGCCCCGGCUAACUUCGUGCCAGCAGCCGCGGUAAUACGAGGGGGGCAAGCGUUGUUCGGAUUUAUUGGGCGUAAAGGGUGCGUAGGCGGUUUGGCAAGUCUGAUGUGAAAUCUAUGGGCUCAACCCAUAGUCUGCAUCAGAAACUGCCGGGCUUGAGUAUGGGAGAGGUGAGUGGAAUUUCCGGUGUAGCGGUGAAAUGCGUAGAUAUCGGAAGGAACACCUGUGGCGAAAGCGGCUCACUGGACCAUAACUGACGCUGAUGCACGAAAGCUAGGGGAGCAAACAGGAUUAGAUACCCCAGUAGUCC
RNAcentral lists this ribosomal RNA (756 nucleotides) under uncultured bacterium. RNAcentral's name for it is "bacterial SSU rRNA". It matches the Rfam family "Bacterial small subunit ribosomal RNA", at positions 8 to 796 of the family's 1533-position model. The record is from RNAcentral.